Ixodes scapularis (black-legged tick) is the source of this 990-nucleotide long non-coding RNA. RefSeq lists it as uncharacterized. The transcript has 3 exons. The record is from RefSeq and is a predicted model, not a curated record. Lineage: Eukaryota; Metazoa; Arthropoda; Arachnida; Ixodida; Ixodidae.
GCCAGAGUCAACAGAAAGUCGUUCAGAGCAAUAUUCCCCAUAAACUACAAAUUGUCGACGAUUUAAAGGCCAGCGCUGAACCGUGUCUGCGACUUACAUGGUGUGGAAGAGCUGUCGGUACUCGUCGUCUCCACUGCUCUCACUCACGAGGAUGUCCAGUUUGUCGAUCAGCUCAGACUCCACCUGUGGAAAUGGGAGGCCCAGCAUCAACUGCCUCAUCACAACAACUCCACGGAGAAAGUUUCAUACAGCCCACAAGUUCGGAAAAAAACGAAAAAAGGGCCCGAGGAAGCUAAUUCACGGCGCAGUUCAACUUCCCGCGAGCCUGAACAUCGACGACGAGGUGCGGGAGCCCGAACACGAAGAUGUCGCAUCAACGGCGCCGUCGACAUCCUGACCUCAAGCGAGCGAGUGCGGCUCGACACGGUGAUGCUCAGGGCUUCCAAGAUUGACGAGAAAGAAAAAAAAGCCGAGGAAAAACUCAAAGAAGUUUCGUCGACGUCCGCUACGACGCGGAAAGCUGUCCUGAUGGCCGGCGUCUCGGGCGCCGAUCAAGAAGCUCCCGAGAGUACAGAGAGUUUCAUCGUCGUCAGCCUCGACGUCGUGAACUCGCUUCUUCAACUCGCGAAGUGUAAAGCUUUUGCGGCGAUGUCGAACUCAUAAAAUGCGAUUGCGAGUAAGGACUUGCAGUAAAACUCAAGCUAUGUUGCAAGAUCUGCGGGGAUGCCGCAUCCGAGUGGAGUUCGCCACGGGUAGCAGUAAAAAUAUGUCCGUGAACAUUUUUUGCUGUGUUCUCGAAAUGAACUUUUUGCGCAGUUUGCUAUUUUGCGGAAGCCGUAUCUCGGCCUGUACACGACCGAUCUUCCUAAUUCUUUCUUUCUUUGUUAGGUGUAUAAGUGGGGUAUCCAAUAAGGGGUCUAAUUGCAACAACCUAGGCAUCAGCAUUUUUUGUUAGCACCUCCAAUAUACACUCCGUGCGAGAACUAUAGG